Molecule: long non-coding RNA, 1370 nt
Organism: Rhineura floridana
Lineage: Eukaryota; Metazoa; Chordata; Lepidosauria; Squamata; Rhineuridae
Exons: 3
Source: RefSeq, a predicted model, not a curated record
GCUAAUCUCAAGCGCCGGGGACGUGGCUAUUACUCUCCUGGUUUGCCCUCCCUUGGCCUGUCGUGGCCUUUUUGAUGCUUUGUGCCUAUUUCCUCUGGUACUUUCAUCAGAAUUCAAUUUCCUCCCUGAAUUCUCCAUUUCCCUAUAAAAUGAAAAUUCAUCUAGAAUUACAUCUUAUGUCAUCAUUAUGUUUAUUAAGCGUGGAUGAUGUAUAUGAACAGUACUGGCUUGCUGCUGAGUGGUUAAUGGUGCAUAAGAUUAAGCCGAGUCUCUCAGCUGCGCAGCGACUCCCCUCCGGUUCCCAUGUUGUAAAGGCAUGCUGGGAGUACAAGUUCCAAACGGACAACCAGCAUGUGGAGUUGUGAGCUGUGCUUGGGAUGAAGCAAUCCCAUGACUUCUGGUGUUACCCAAAGGAGGACUCAGUCCACAUUCUCCUGCAACCAGCGCAUUGUCACUGGGGAAUUUAAAAUCUGCACAUCUUUAACAAAAGUGACGUAACACUUGCAACAGAGUGAUGGCCAUUUUGUUUUGCAUCACCAUUUGUUUCUAACUGGGAGAUCACAAACUCUGCUGAUACAGUGGUUCCUUCUCAGACCAUGAUGUGAAAUGGGACUUUUUUCUGUGUACUGAAUUGUAAAGCCAGAAUCCAUCUCCCACAAUGCUUCAUAUCUGCUGGAACUCUUUUUCUCCAGGCCUGUGGGCUGAGUAGAAAAGAAAGCAGCUACUGAGCAUUUGCAGAACUUUAUUUUGUCGUUGUGGUACAAUGACACCCAGCCAACUCCAACACUUCCAGGGUCAGGGGGCAGGUCAGUUUCAGAGCCAGUCUGGUGGGGUGGACACAGAAUCAGACUUAGAAUGGAGAGAUCUGUAUUCAGUCCUUGCUCAGCUAAAAGCUCACCUGGUGACCUUUGGCUAGCCUCCAUCGUGCAACCAAGUCCAAAAUUACCUUACAGGGUUACUGUGAAGAUAAAUGGGGUAGAGAGCUGCCCUGUGCUCCUUGGAAAAAGAAUGGGAUCAAAAUGUGAUAAAUCAAUAAAAAAUUAAGGCCAGGUCCUGGCAUAUAUGUUCCUCUUUUAGAUGGUUCAAGUAGACUUCUUCAAACAAAAAAUAUUUGUGUCCCAAACCCAGAAACCCACCUGUCUGCUAUUCUCACACAACAACACGCAUGCAUACAUGCACACCUCCCACAUCCAUCACUAGGACAGCGAUAAUGGUGGCUGGCCAACCGCGCAGAGCUGACAAGGAGAAAGAGAGACAUUUCUAGCAGGGAGAAUGAGGAACAGCUCCUCCCUGUGCUCAUUUGAAUGGAGGGAAUCUCAGUCUAAAUUUUAUUUACAGUGGCCCUGAUUAUGAUGGGCAUAACAUGAGUA